UACGGGGGGGGCAAGCGUUGUUCGGAAUUACUGGGCGUAAAGGGCGCGUAGGCGGGUGGACAAGUCUCUCGUGAAAGCCCACGGCUCAACCGUGGAAUUGCGGGAGAUACUGUCUGUCUUGAGUCCGGGAGAGGAGGGUGGAAUUCCCAGUGUAGCGGUGAAAUGCGUAGAUAUUGGGAGGAACACCGGUGGCGAAUGCGGCUCUCUGGACCGGUACUGACGCUGCGGCGCGAAAGCUAUGGGAGCAAACGGG
This 253-nucleotide ribosomal RNA is filed under the name uncultured bacterium. RNAcentral's name for it is "partial 16S ribosomal RNA". It matches the Rfam family "Bacterial small subunit ribosomal RNA", at positions 524 to 776 of the family's 1533-position model. The record is from RNAcentral.